RNAcentral lists this small RNA (1241 nucleotides) under Histoplasma capsulatum. Its description in RNAcentral is "hypothetical RNA". RNAcentral also lists the same sequence under 1 other name. The record is from RNAcentral. Lineage: Eukaryota; Fungi; Ascomycota; Eurotiomycetes; Onygenales; Ajellomycetaceae.
CGAUGCACAGGCCAAACCACCUGCCCCCAAAAUGCCAAUGACGCGGAUUUUCUUCUUAAGAGACAUCUGCAGCGAAUGGGUCAAAAGAAGCGGCAAGACCAAAAUUGUCAAGUCGCUCACGACACUGAUAAUUGCAUCAGCUAGAAUAAUGGCUCGUUCAUCCAAGCAUGACCCAUUCGAAGCCUGACCCAUCCAAAAGUGGGAUAUGGGCAUACAGAUGCGGAUUUUAACGAUGAUCGCGGGGACGUAAUAUGCGAGCAGUACCCCAAAGUAUACAUAUAUGAACCUUACCGUUUUGCGGUAAGGCGCGAAAACUCGGGUUAGGAUUAGGAGGAUGGAUGCCUUCGUGAGAAAUGCGGCUGGUCCGUAUAUGACCAUGGUUCCGUACACGGUCUGUUUUGUUGUGCUCGAUUGAUGAGCAGUUCAUAUCUUUAGCAUCCGUGUUCUGCACAAUGACAGAUGAUACUGUUUAUCCAAUCCCCUUUUUUUACGCACCUUAUUGAACGGGACAAGAUCUGCCUUUGGGACAUCCCAUUGGUGAUACCCGCCACCAUAUUUGCCCACUACAAGGGGAUCAGUCAGUGCAUUGGAUGAAUUAAGCAAUGCGCCAUACUUCAAGGGAGACGAACUCAAAAUUGCAAUGAUGGAAUAACCAAUUCCGAGAAACUAAAGCGGCAAGUCAGCCAUACUGCCUCGGCAGAUGCACAGACAAAGUUGGAUGCACAAACCCAAGCAAGCGAACAACACCCUUUUUGCAUGUGUUAGCUCCUGCCCUUGUCCUUGGAACAAAUGAUGAAGGGGAGACAAUGUCCGAUCCAGCAGAUAUAACUUACAAUCUUCCCUUCCGAACCCCUUAUUAACACAAACCCGGACAUACAUCCUCAACAAGAAAAUUAUUGACGUUAAGGAGAUGCAGAGACCCUGCGUGAUAAGAUUCCACAUAUGUAAUGCCUCUCCCGGCCCGUUGAAGUUGGACUCGAUGCCCGACGGAGGCGUCAGAGCUGCCUCUGUUUGAGCGGCCGCGGAUGCCAUAGUUUCGCCUCUAGUGACUAUGAAAAUACCUCACGCUAUCUCUUCUUCAACGUCUUCCCCUUCUUACUCUUCCCCUUCUUCUUUUCCUUCCCCCCGUUUCAGCAAACAGAGUCAAACGAGUGACGAAAACAAAAAAUACUUUUCGACGACUCACAAAUCAAAACCAUAUACUUUUGAAUCAGAAAAGUCAUGAAAUCUCAACAAAUCAA